This 449-nucleotide ribosomal RNA is filed under the name uncultured bacterium. Its description in RNAcentral is "bacterial SSU rRNA". It matches the Rfam family "Bacterial small subunit ribosomal RNA", at positions 29 to 506 of the family's 1533-position model. The record is from RNAcentral.
ACGAACGCUGGCGGCGUGCUUAACACAUGCAAGUCGAACGAGGCAGCAAUGCCGAGUGGCGGACGGGUGAGUAACACGUGGGUAACCUGCCUUGUAGUGGGGGAUACCCACCCGAAAGGGUGGCUAAUACCGCAUACGCUCUGUAGUUGAAAUACUGCAGAGGAAAGAUUUAUCGCUACUAGAGGGGUCCGCGUCCGAUUAGCUAGUUGGUGAGGUAACGGCUCACCAAGGCGACGAUCGGUAGCUGGUCUGAGAGGACGAUCAGCCACACUGGAACUGAGACACGGUCCAGACUCCUACGGGAGGCAGCAGUGGGGAAUUUUCCGCAAUGGGCGAAAGCCUGACGGAGCAACGCCGCGUGGAUGAUGAAGUCUUUCGGGACGUAAAAUCCUUUCAGCAGGGACGAAGUAAGUGACGGUACCUGCAGAAGAAGCAUCGGCUAACUACGU